UUUUUUUAAAUGGCCGCAGUAUCCUAACUGUGCAAAGGUAGCAUAAUCAUUAGUCUUUUAAUUGAAGGCUGGUAUGAAUGGUUGGACGAGGUAUUAACUGUUUCAAAUAAAUUUAUAAUAGAAUUUUAUUUUUUAGUCAAAAAGCUAAAAUUUUAUUAAAAGACGAGAAGACCCUAUAAAUCUUUACUUUUAGUUUUAUUUUAAUUAUUAAGAUAAAUUUUAUUAUAAUAAAAUAAAAAGUUUUAUUGGGGUGAUAUUAAAAUUUAAUAAACUUUUAAUUUUUAUAAACAUAGAUUCAUGAUUAAUUGAUCCAUUAAUAGUGAUUAAAAAUUUAAGUUACUUUAGGGAUAACAGCGUAAUUUUUUUGGAGAGUUCUUAUCGAUAAAAAAGAUUGCGACCUCGAUGUUGGAUUAAGAAAAAUUUUAGGUGUAGCC
Molecule: ribosomal RNA, 434 nt
Filed under: Allosepsis sp. 2 LZ-2013
Lineage: Eukaryota; Metazoa; Arthropoda; Insecta; Diptera; Sepsidae
Description: partial 16S ribosomal RNA
Rfam family: Bacterial large subunit ribosomal RNA
Source: RNAcentral